This 262-nucleotide ribosomal RNA is filed under the name uncultured bacterium. RNAcentral describes it as "partial 16S ribosomal RNA". It matches the Rfam family "Bacterial small subunit ribosomal RNA", at positions 1229 to 1500 of the family's 1533-position model. The record is from RNAcentral.
UAGGCAGGUACAGAUGGAUGCUACCGGGCGACCGGAUGCGGAUCUCGAAAGCCUGUCCCAGUUCGGACUGGAGUCUGCAACCCGACUCCACGAAGUUGGAUUCGCUAGUAAUCGCGCAUCAGCCAUGGCGCGGUGAAUACGUUCCCGGGCCUUGUACACACCGCCCGUCAAGCCAUGGGAGCCGGGGGCGCCUGAAGUCCGGGACCGCGAGGACCGGCCUAGGGCGAAACUGGUAACUGGGGCUAAGUCGUAACAAGGUAUC